CAGUAUCCCCUGAUUUUCGAUUAAAAAUAAAGAAAAAAAUGAGGGGAUACGGUGGGAUACGUCCGUGACACGGUUGGGAUACGGCCUGGCCCAAUAACAGGCCCAAAACGAAACCCUAUGUUUUACAUGAGUCGCACGCAUCUCUUCCACACAAAAGCGAUGUGCUCCCAGGUAGCAGCCUCUCCUGGAUCGAAGCCGCCACCUCCUGGAUCGAAGCCACCGCCGCCUGGACUCAACGCCGCCGCCGGCGGCGACACCUGCACUCGACCGGCGACUGCUACCCCACAGCACCAGCAGGCAGCAGCCUCUCCUCCCAACGGCAGGUUGCAUGGCAUGGGGGGAUGAGGAUCAAUCAAGGACUUGAUAAAAAGAGACAUCAAAUGGGGCAGGAUUCUCUAUUUUGAUUUCUUUCUCAUUAAUUUUCUGUCUUAACUCUAUAUUACAUGGCAUAUUUUUAUUUUAUUUUAUAUAUACUCGCCGUAUCCCCGAAUGGCUGUUUCUGAAAAAUGCCGUAUCCCGUAUCCCCGUAUGCGUAUCCCCGUCUUUCC
Triticum dicoccoides is the source of this 548-nucleotide long non-coding RNA. RefSeq lists it as uncharacterized. NCBI's taxonomy places the organism in Eukaryota, Viridiplantae, Streptophyta, Magnoliopsida, Poales, Poaceae. The record is from RefSeq and is a predicted model, not a curated record. The transcript has 2 exons.